UACGAGGGGGGCGAGCGUUGUUCGGAAUUAUUGGGCGUAAAGGGUGCGUAGGCGGUUUGGUAAGUCUUGUGUGAAAUCUUCGGGCUCAACUCGAAGUCUGCACGAGAAACUGCCGGGCUUGAGUAUGGGAGAGGUGAGUGGAAUUCCCGGUGUAGCGGUGAAAUGCGCAGAUAUCAGGAGGAACACCGGUGGCGAAGGCGGGAUCCUGGGCCAGUACUGACGCUGAGGAGCGAAAGCGUGGGGAGCAAUCAGG
Molecule: ribosomal RNA, 253 nt
Filed under: uncultured bacterium
Lineage: Bacteria
Description: partial 16S ribosomal RNA
Rfam family: Bacterial small subunit ribosomal RNA
Source: RNAcentral